Molecule: small nuclear RNA, 183 nt
Organism: Dermacentor albipictus
Lineage: Eukaryota; Metazoa; Arthropoda; Arachnida; Ixodida; Ixodidae
Product: U2 spliceosomal RNA
Source: RefSeq, a predicted model, not a curated record
AGACGUGGCCGAGGCGGGUCAAAUCAUAGUGCGGGUGUUAUCAACUUAAUAUCUGAUACGGGUUUUAUUUAGACCUAAAAUAUUAAACUUAUUUUUGUAAGUUGGCGGAGUGCUCAGAGCCUGCUUCACCUCCGCGGCGAGUCGGCCCGGUGUUGCACUCUCUUCGGGAUCGGCCCGCGUAUG